UGGAAUGUCAUUUCUGCGUCCAAUUGGAAUUCUUUCGCCUCCAAAAAUUACGUCGUUAUGAAAAAUUAUGCUUGAAAUAUAUUUUUGUUUAUUUAUUUUUUGGACACGAUAACGGUGAUAAAAGUGAAUCUCGGCGCAGUAUUUUACAUAAAUCAAGUGCAGAAAGUGGUCAAUUUCCAAAGAAAAGAUAAUAAAACAUGUAAAUUCGUACAAAAAAAACAAAAAGUGGCUGAAAAACGUUGCGCCUGGAUCAAGUUUCUAUUGAGGAUUGGAAUCUGUGCUGCCCUCGAUGUUGCAGUUCCUGAAAAAGUCGGUCGUAACGCAAAAAAAACUAACAGCAGCCAGUAGUUCAGCACAUCAUAAAAAAAAACCAAAAGCAAAAAGUCAUCGAAGGCCGGUGAUGUCAUCAAUGGCUCAAUUGGAUACGAACCGGUGAACGAUGCUCGAAGCGGAGCAUUGGCUGGAUGUCGUGAGUUUCAAGGCCUCUGCAAAUGUGGACGGAUGUGGUUGGACGGCAGAAAUUGCAAAGUGGUGGCGCAUCGUGGCUUACAGAGAAGUGUCUCUUCAGUUCGGACGGAUAUGAUAGUUUGUCUUAUUUGAGUGUUGAUUGCGAUUUGAUAUCAACUUUUUCGGAAAAUGUUUCGAUGACUGUACAACGGCAACUGACAUAGGCGGACCAAGCGGUUGAACGUCCGGCAAAUGCUGGAAGUGUGUGAUAUGAUCAUGCGCUAGAAAACGACGAGAAAACUCGGAUCUGCAAAUCAAACCAAAUGGAACAAGAUGAAACCCCCGAUUUCGUAACACAUAAGGAAGACGGUUUCAAAUCGUUGGUGAACUCGGACGCGGCAAGAAUCUACAGAAAGUAUUUGGUCAGCAACUCGCCUUGUUACAUUGAUGUGACGGCGACAGUUCUGUCCCACAUUUCGCUGGCACGAUUUUUCGACGAGGCUCAGUAGUAUUUGCUGAAUGUGAUGGAGAAGAACCACCUGAGCCCAUUCCUGAAAAGUAGCUUCUACUGUAAAUACACCUUCGAGGUUCUACCGAGCGACAGUUUAACCUUGACAAACCAUACUCUGCAGUAAAAUGGCUCUGUUCUACUUUAUGGAGUAUCUCGAGCAGAAAGAACACUGUUAGCCAUGUCGGAUACGAGCUAUCAUCGUAAGAAAAACAAACACGAUUGGAGCUGCAACCACAAGCGACAUAAUGCAAAUAGAUUCACGUCAACUGUACAACGACAACCUAAUGUGGAGGUGGAACUCGGUUCCCGGGCUAACGAUCGGUCGUGUGGACGCGUUGGGGCGCAAUGAGCGAGAUUUUGAUAACGCGAAAAGGCAAUGCGAAAGCUGGUGAAUUUGCCCGAGGACAAAGCACAGGAGGAACUAUCCUAGCAGGUGGCGGAGAUGAUUGUUAAGGACAUAUAUAUCGCAUCUUCCAUAUAAAACUUUUAAAAAAUCCAAUAAAUCGAAACAUCAUCGGA
Molecule: long non-coding RNA, 1477 nt
Organism: Armigeres subalbatus
Lineage: Eukaryota; Metazoa; Arthropoda; Insecta; Diptera; Culicidae
Exons: 2
Source: RefSeq, a predicted model, not a curated record